Molecule: ribosomal RNA, 446 nt
Filed under: uncultured bacterium
Lineage: Bacteria
Description: bacterial SSU rRNA
Rfam family: Bacterial small subunit ribosomal RNA
Source: RNAcentral
ACCAGACUCCUACGGGAGGCAGCAGUGGGGGAUAUUGCACAAUGGGGGGAACCCUGAUGCAGCGACGCCGCGUGGGUGAAGAAGCGCCUCGGCGCGUAAAGCCCUGUCAGCAGGGAAGAAAAUGACGGUACCUGAAGAAGAAGCCCCGGCUAACUACGUGUCAGCAGCCGCGGUAAUACGUAGGGGGCAAGCGUUAUCCGGAUUUACUGGGUGUAAAGGGGGCGCAGACGGCGAUGCAAGCCAGGAGUGAAAGCCCGGGGCCCAACCCCGGGACUGCUCUUGGAACUGCGUGGCUGGAGUGCAGGAGGGGCAGGCGGAAUUCCUGGUGUAGCGGUGAAAUGCGUAGAUAUCAGGAGGAACACCGGCGGCGAAGGCGGCCUGCUGGACCGUGACUGACGUUGAGGCUCGAGAGCGUGGGGAGCAAACAGGAUUAGAUACCCCUGUAG